UAUGCUACAUGAUCCGAGGUCAACCUUAAGAUAAAGGGGUUUUACGGCCGGCACGCGCCGGGACGCCGCGAGCGAGGUGUAUUACUGCGCUACGGGUCCAGGCGCGCCCGCCACUUCUUUUCAGGGCCCGCGGCGGCCGCGGGGCCCCAACACCGAGCAGGGCUCGAGGGUUGAAAUGACGCUCGAACAGGCAUGCCCGCCGGAAUGCCGGCGGGCGCAAUGUGCGUUCAAAGAUUCGAUGAUUCGCUGAGUUCUGCAAUUCACAUUACUUAUCGCAUUUCGCUGCGUUCUUCAUCGAUGCCAGAACCAAGAGAUCCGUUGUUGAAAGUUUUGACUCAUUUAGUGUCUUCUCAGAGGGGCCUAAAUCGCAAGAGUUGUGCUGCGCUGCCGCCGGCGGGCGCCCUUGCGGGCUGCGGCCCCUCCCCGGGGCCGCCCGCCGAAGCAACGAACAGUUGAAGAAACGUUCACGGGUGUAUUAAGGAGAAUGGAACUCGUUAAUGAUCCCUCCGCAGGUUCACCUACGGAAGCC
This 529-nucleotide ribosomal RNA is filed under the name fungal sp. SNB-GTC2901. RNAcentral's name for it is "partial large subunit ribosomal RNA". Lineage: Eukaryota; Fungi. The record is from RNAcentral.